This 1281-nucleotide long non-coding RNA is filed under the name Monodelphis domestica (gray short-tailed opossum). RNAcentral describes it as "lncRNA (ENSMODG00000037741.1)". The record is from RNAcentral. Lineage: Eukaryota; Metazoa; Chordata; Mammalia; Didelphimorphia; Didelphidae.
AGGAAAUAGAAUCCUUAAAUGAUCCUAUAUCAAAAAAAGAAAUUGAACAAACAAUGAACUCCCUAAGAAAAAAAUCCCCAGGGCUAGAUGGAUUCACAAGUGAAUUUUAUCAAACAUUUAAAGAACAAUUAAUCCUAAUACUACAUGAAUUAUUAGGGGAACGAGGCAGAGAAGGAAUCCUACCAAAUUCUUUUAAUUAAAUGAAUAUCCAAGCCAGGAAGUACAAGAACAGAGAAAGAAAAUUAUAGGUCAAUUUCAUUAAUGAAUAUAGAUGCAAAAAUUUUAAAUAAGAUACUAAGAAGUAGAAUACAGCAAUAUAUCUCAAGGAUCAUUCAUUACGACCAGGUAGGAUUUAUACCAGGAAUGCAUUUGGUUUAAUGGUUUAAUAUUAGGAAAAAUAUCAACCUAAUUGACCACUUCAAUAACCAGACUAACAGAAAUCACAUGAUUAUCUCAGUAGAUUCAGAAAAAGCCUUUGACAAAAUACGACACCCGUUCCUAUUAAAGACACUAGAAAGCAUGGAAAUAAAUGGGUUAUUCCUUAAAAUGCUCCCUACCUGUUGGAGCCAAAAUGGUAUCCUUGCCUGCUCUUCAUCUUGUCUAAAAUCAGAAAGACUUAAGGGUUGUAUGCUGUCACUCGACAACUUGUUUUCCAUUGGGUAUAGCGAUCUCUGUGUAAAACUCUUUUCUUUAAAUUAAAUUAAAAUUCUCUAAAAAGAAUUUUUAUGGCACUCAAAAUAGAUCUUUGUUUUCCACUUAUUGUUUGACAUUGAGUAUAUAUAUUUCACUUAAUGCCUCAAGUUUUAUAUCUUAUACCUUUAGUCUUUCUGUAGUAGAAGUAUUUUAAAGUCAGUGAACGAAAGUUCUACAUUUAUUUUUUAAAAAUCUAUGUUUCAAGCUCUUUAUCCUUAGGUAAAUGUGAGAAGUAUUGUAUUUUUCCAGCAAUGAUAGCAAAUCAUAGCCAGACCUACCACAUGGCAUUUAUUCAUCACAGCUGGGUUUUCCUUGAUUACUACGUUAAUCGCCCAGUGAAUGAGUAAAGGUCAUUUCAUUUCAAUCACAUUUAUUAAUCACUCACAUUUUAUACUCAUUAACAUUUUCCCUAUUUACAUCAAGCUGGUCUCCUAAGUGAUUCUAUCAGGGCUAUUAAGAUGUUAAUGUCAAAUCUGGCUACAUUAACUGGAGUACUCACUGAAGGUGUCAGAAGGAAGUACAACAUUUUCUUCUAAAUUAUAUUUGUUUUCAUUUGGUGAUUAUUAAAUAUCAAGGUCAAGAACAACA